RNAcentral lists this ribosomal RNA (254 nucleotides) under uncultured bacterium. RNAcentral's name for it is "partial 16S ribosomal RNA". It matches the Rfam family "Bacterial small subunit ribosomal RNA", at positions 524 to 776 of the family's 1533-position model. The record is from RNAcentral.
CACGUAGGGACCAAGCGUUGUCCGGAUUUAUUGGGCGUAAAGCGCUCGUAGGCGGUUCGGUAAGUCUGGUGUGAAACCCCUGGGCUCAACCCGGGGACGCCACCCGAUACUGCUGUGACUCGAGUUCGGUAGGGGAGCGGGGAAUUCCUGGUGUAGCGGUGAAAUGCGCAGAUAUCAGGAGGAACACCGGUGGCGAAGGCGCCGCUCUGGGCCGAUACUGACGCUGAGGAGCGAAAGCGUGGGGAGCAAACAGG